This 340-nucleotide ribosomal RNA is filed under the name uncultured eukaryote. RNAcentral's name for it is "SSU rRNA". It matches the Rfam family "Eukaryotic small subunit ribosomal RNA", at positions 22 to 356 of the family's 1831-position model. The record is from RNAcentral.
AGUCAUAUGCUUGUCUCAAAGAUUAAGCCAUGCAUGUCUAAGUAUAAACAACUUUAUACUGUGAAACUGCGAACGGCUCAUUAUAUCAGCAAUAAUUUAUUUGAUGGUUUCUUACUACAUGGAUAACUGUAGUAAUUCUAGAGCUAAUACAUGCGUAAAAUCCCAACUCUUGCGGGGCGGGAUGUAUUUAUUAGAUAAAAAACCAAUGCGGACUUUGUCCGGUUUUUUGGUGAAUCAUAGUAACUGAUCAAAUCGCAUGGUUUCACACCGGCGAUAGUUCAUUCAAAUUUCUGCCCUAUCAGCUUUCGACGGUAGUGUAGUGGACUACCGUGGCGUUAAC